GCAUGCUGCAUCACAAGGGCCACCCAUGCUAGAGCACUUUUUCAAUAGGCUCCCCAACGACAAGGCGACGACGAAUUCAUAUGUCAUCCAUAUCAACUUUCAAUGCCACUUACUGCGCCUACCAUGGUGACCAUGGGUAACGGGGAAUCAGGGUUCGAUUCCGGAGAGGGAGCCUGACAAACGGCUACCACAUGCAAGGAAGGCAACAGGCGCGCAAAUGACCCACUCCCGACAUGGGAAGGUAGUAAUGACAAAUAACAAUACAGGACUCUUUAGAGGCCCUGUAAUUGUAAUGAGUCCACUUAAAAUCCUUUAACUCUGAUCAAUUGGAGGGAAAGUCUGGUGCAGAGCGACUGACCCGUGCUGCAGCUGAAACUCCACUAUUGCCUGC
Pelobates cultripes (western spadefoot toad) is the source of this 391-nucleotide non-coding RNA. The record is from the annotation of a GenBank genome assembly. NCBI's taxonomy places the organism in Eukaryota, Metazoa, Chordata, Amphibia, Anura, Pelobatidae.